GGGUAUGCUCACCUUCAUGGAUGCAGCGGCGGGAAGGCGAGAUCGACGGCGGCCGACGAAAACCUCGGUGGAAUCGUGCUUGAGCUAGGGUUUCGCGGUGAGUAGGGUGGCGGUUGGGGUUCUAGGGGGUGUUUCGGGCGGCGUCGGGGUCCUAUUUAAAGGAGAGGGUGGCCGGGGAUCUUUGGUUUGCGUGCGGCGUGAAAAUCAGGGCGGUGGCGCUCUCCCCGUCUGAUUCAGACGGAGGUAGGAGAUGACCCCCUAGUGGGUGGGACCCACUCGUGGGCCCCACGGGUCUGCGGGAUAGAGGGGGGAGAAGGGCGUGCGCGUGGUAGGACCGAACUGGGUCGUGGCCCACGCGGGCAGCGUGCACGUGCGGGGGUUGGGCCGAGAGUGAGCGCGGGGCUGGCCCAGAGAGGAAACCUUUUCUUUUUAUUUUUUUUUCUAUUUUCUUUCUUACUUAAAAAAUUAAGUCAGGCAAAUUUGGAAUUAAAUAAAAUCAAACAAUUCAAGCAAAAUAAAAUGUCGCAGCAUGAAUGCAUCAAACAAGUUUUCUAUCUUAUAUUUAAUUUUAAUUAUUUUUAUAAAUUAUUUAAUAAAUGUCUAAAAUGCCAAACUCUACGAAAUUUAAUUUAAAUUCAAUUUAAAAUUUGGAGUUAAAAAUUCGGAGUGUUAUAACACGUUUUUAAGGGCUCUAUUGGUGGAGCCAUUGAAAGCCCAAGUUUGGGUUUGGUAAUUAAUGACACCAAGUUGCUAAUGCCUUGUGUUUGUGAUUUGAGUUAGACAUAGCAACACAUAUGAUAAAGGUGCAAGAUGGCAAGGA
RNAcentral lists this long non-coding RNA (820 nucleotides) under Sorghum bicolor (sorghum). RNAcentral's name for it is "long non-coding RNA (SBIC_LNC012671)". Lineage: Eukaryota; Viridiplantae; Streptophyta; Magnoliopsida; Poales; Poaceae. The record is from RNAcentral.